AAUAGGAGAAUGACAAAUCAGAUUUUUUCUCCUCAUUUUCAGCUUUUUCCUUUUGAAAAACUCAAAUCCAACUAAAAAUGCUAUAAAUAAGGAGGAAAAAUCUAAUUUGUAAUUCUCCUAUU
This is a non-coding RNA of Gossypium raimondii (Peruvian cotton), 122 nucleotides long. Lineage: Eukaryota; Viridiplantae; Streptophyta; Magnoliopsida; Malvales; Malvaceae. The record is from Rfam.